ACGUAGGGGGCCAGCGUUGUUCGGAAUUACUGGGUGUAAAGGGUUCGUAGGCGGUGUGGCAAGUCGGGAGUGAAAUCUCUGGGCUCAACUCAGGGGCUGCUUCCGAAACUGCUGUGCUAGAGUGUGGGAGAGGCGCGUGGAAUUGCAGGUGUAGCGGUGAAAUGCGUAGAUAUCUGCAGGAACACCCGUGGCGAAAGCGGCGCGCUGGACCACUACUGACGCUGAGGAACGAAAGCUAGGGGAGCAAACAGGA
Molecule: ribosomal RNA, 253 nt
Filed under: uncultured prokaryote
Description: partial 16S ribosomal RNA
Rfam family: Bacterial small subunit ribosomal RNA
Source: RNAcentral